RNAcentral lists this ribosomal RNA (410 nucleotides) under Lactococcus garvieae. RNAcentral describes it as "bacterial SSU rRNA". It matches the Rfam family "Bacterial small subunit ribosomal RNA", at positions 66 to 468 of the family's 1533-position model. Lineage: Bacteria; Bacillati; Bacillota; Bacilli; Lactobacillales; Streptococcaceae. The record is from RNAcentral.
AUGAUUAAAGAUAGCUUGCUAUUUUUAUGAAGAGCGGCGAACGGGUGAGUAACGCGUGGGAAAUCUGCCGAGUAGCGGGGGACAACGUUUGGAAACGAACGCUAAUACCGCAUAACAAUGAGAAUCGCAUGAUUCUUAUUUAAAAGAAGCAAUUGCUUCACUACUUGAUGAUCCCGCGUUGUAUUAGCUAGUUGGUAGUGUAAAGGACUACCAAGGCGAUGAUACAUAGCCGACCUGAGAGGGUGAUCGGCCACACUGGGACUGAGACACGGCCCAGACUCCUACGGGAGGCAGCAGUAGGGAAUCUUCGGCAAUGGGGGCAACCCUGACCGAGCAACGCCGCGUGAGUGAAGAAGGUUUUCGGAUCGUAAAACUCUGUUGUUAGAGAAGAACGUUAAGUAGAGUGGAAA